GACCCCUCCAAAGACUCCAUCCUCUUCGGACCACAAGACAAGGGUAAGGGUAGCUCUUCAAAGUGGACGCAGCAGCAAAGAAGGAAUAAUAAAGAAAGAUGAAAAAGCUCAUCAGCUCAGGUGAGGCUGAUAGAAUCUUGAUAUCUGUAUCUGCAAGUAGCAAUCUCAAUCUAUCCUUUUAUGGGUUUAUUUAUUAUUGUUGAGUAGGGUUUGGGGUUUUUGUAGGGAGAAAAUUUAUCUGAUAUAUCAAGAAGCUGGAAUCCUGCAGAAAACGGUUCCCCAAUUGCCAUAACAGCAAUAUUACCGUUUCUUUUCUUGCUUUUCUCCUUAUCUUUGAGACAAAGAAGAUGCUCUUUCUGUGUCUUUUUCUAGUUGGAAUCUUUACAACAUUUCUUUGAACUCAAAAGAAACCUCUACAUUUCUGUUUCUGCCUCGAUUCAAACACACAAAUCCCUUCAAAACCUCUGGCCGUUAGUGGUUAAAGAAAAGACAAAGGAAAACUCUUCAACUGUGUUACCAAGAAUAUGCAUCCUCGUCUGCUCGAUGGAGAGCUAAGCGUGGCACCCGCCAAUGAGAACAGAACACGAGAUUCUUACAUUAGCGAUACCAAUUUCGACGCGAGCACGGUGAUUAUAUUGGCCGCUUUAUUGUGUGCGCUGAUUGGUGCUUUAGGAUUGAACUCUAUUGUGCGUUGCGCUUUGCGCUGUAGCAGAAAUUUUACCCUCGAGACGCCAGAGCAAGCCGCAGCUCGUUUGGCUGCCACAGGGCUUAAGAAACGGGAUUUGCGCCAGAUCCCAGUGGCGGUUUAUGGGACCGGGGUGAAUAUUCCGGCAACGGAGUGCCCAAUUUGCUUAGGGGAGUUCGCUAAUGGAGAAAAAAUUCGGGUGCUUCCUAAAUGCAAUCAUGGAUUCCAUGUGAGUUGCAUAGACACAUGGCUUUUGUCACACUCCUCCUGCCCCAAUUGCCGGCUCUCGUUGCUUGAACACACGACGGGCGGUUCAGGUGCAGCUCCACAACAACAGCAUGCAGCAUGGGCGCCGGAGAAUGAUCGCCGACGACAAGGUAAUGUUGUUGUCGUUUUUGAAUGAGCAAAUUGAUAUUUGUGGGUUUUAGAAAGAUGCGGUAAUUGCGGUGGUGGAGGAUGGAAAUGGAAAUGGAAAUGUUUCUAUUUUAGAAGUUAUUUGUGUAAUUUACAGGCGAAAUUGCAAAUUAAGGAAAGUUUUAUUUUGGACGGUUGAGAAUUGAGAUACAAAUUGUCAAAUUUCAC
This 1267-nucleotide unclassified non-coding RNA is filed under the name Hevea brasiliensis (rubber tree). Lineage: Eukaryota; Viridiplantae; Streptophyta; Magnoliopsida; Malpighiales; Euphorbiaceae. The record is from RNAcentral.